Molecule: long non-coding RNA, 594 nt
Organism: Spea bombifrons (plains spadefoot toad)
Lineage: Eukaryota; Metazoa; Chordata; Amphibia; Anura; Pelobatidae
Exons: 2
Source: RefSeq, a predicted model, not a curated record
UGUGGGUUCACCAUCAAUGAUCGAUCUGUAUACCAGUUGUGCUGAAGUGAGUUCUUCACCAAGACCCAUUUGGCCAGCUCCUUUCCAUUGGUUAUGGCGGCAUGAGCAGAUGUUUCUUUACACCAUGUUUCGUAUACAAGGGGUUUAAAAGAUCAUGUUUUGAGUGUGACUGGGAUGACUAAUACAACGGAUUGUGUGUGUACUAACCCACCAGUUUGCAGGCCGGGUAAUGGCCUCCUAAUGUUCAUGAUGCAUUAUGACAGGCCACAACCUGUGUGACUUUCCUGCAAAUAGGCAGUUUGAAUUAGUUAAUGCUAAUGGGAACCUCAAACAUUUAUUGCAUUUUGUACACCCAACAUUAUUGUUCUUACAUGAGGGAAGUUGGGCGGCUGUAAUGUGCGUGUUUCUGUGGGCCCUGGUUAGUGAAUACACCCCACCGACUUGUAUUGCUCACCACCGUCACACUCGUUUUUGAUGAGACUUUGGCUUUCCUACUGUGUUGCAAAGCGUAAUCUAUUUUCUGUUUUGAAAAUUGUAUAAAUAACUCAUACAGUUUUUGUCAGCUAUGAACAAGACAAGUAAAUGCGCACACGU